GGAAUUUACCAUUAAUUAAAUACACAUGAUAUUAAAUGUAUAAAGUUGAUUUGAACAUUUAUCAGUAUUACUAUUACAAUAGAUUUUCUUACCAGUCAGUCGAAAGGGCAUCAUUUACUUUUCAAUUGACAUUCUUUUUCUAAAAAUGUUGACGACAUGAUUGGCAAAUGCACAACCAGUCCUCACUAGGGGUAAAUUAAAUGUUGCCUAAAUACAAAUUCAUAUUGUCGAAUUAUUGAUUUGCAAGCCAAUAUAACACCAAUAAUGAUUUUAGCUUAUUUCAUCAAAAUUAAAUCAAAAUGAUUGUUAAAAGCAAAAUAUAAUUUCUACAUUCUGCUUUUAUAAAUGUUUGAAACAAAUAAAAAUCAUGUUGUCUAAUUUGUAGCAAUUGCCCC
RNAcentral lists this long non-coding RNA (395 nucleotides) under Mytilus galloprovincialis (Mediterranean mussel). Lineage: Eukaryota; Metazoa; Mollusca; Bivalvia; Mytilida; Mytilidae. The record is from RNAcentral.